RNAcentral lists this small nucleolar RNA (317 nucleotides) under Sander lucioperca (pikeperch). Lineage: Eukaryota; Metazoa; Chordata; Actinopteri; Perciformes; Percidae. The record is from RNAcentral.
CCCGCAUGAUGAUAUAUUGGCAAGUUUGAUGAUCUAGUCAGACCAAUAGAUUUCGGCCUCUUGCCUGUGGUUAGAUGGGUAGUCUUGGUGGUGUGGUUGAGUUUUAUUGCACUGCUGUAAGGGCCCAUCCACAGUGAACUUGUCACCUUACAACCUCUGCACCCCCCUAGAGCAAUGGGACGGGACAAGUGGAAGAUGUCAAACAGUGUGUGUGUGUGUGUGUUGUAUGGAUGUAUAUGUAUCAGCUGGCAAGAGGCUAUAGUCUCAAUAUAAUUGGUUUGGCAAAUAUGAACUACUUUCUUUGGUAACCUGAGGGC